UAGGGAAUUUUCGUCAAUGGGGGGAACCCUGAACGAGCAAUGCCGCGUGAGUGAAGAAGGUCUUCGGAUCGUAAAGCUCUGUUGUAAGAGAAAAAGGGCGCAUAUAGGAAAUGAUAUGCGAUUGAUGGUAUCUUACCAGAAAGCCACGGCUAACUACGUGCCAGCAGCCGCGGUAAUACGUAGGUGGCGAGCGUUAUCCGGAAUGAUUGGGCGUAAAGGGUGCGUAGGUGGCACGAUAAGUCUGGAGUAAAAGGGAGCGGCUCAACCGCUGUUGGCUCUGGAAACUGUCGAGCUAGAGAGCAGGAGAGGGCGAUGGAAUUCCAUGUGUAGCGGUAAAAUGCGUAGAUAUAUGGAGGAACACCGGUGGCGAAGGCGGUCGCCUGGCCUGCAACUGACACUGAAGCACGAAAGCGUGGGGAGCAAAUA
Molecule: ribosomal RNA, 426 nt
Filed under: uncultured bacterium
Lineage: Bacteria
Description: bacterial SSU rRNA
Rfam family: Bacterial small subunit ribosomal RNA
Source: RNAcentral